GAUAUGUGAAUAGAACCAGCAUUGGGUACCUUAAUGCUGCUAUUCGAGACUGCUUGUUCCAACAUACAACUAAGUCCUUCCAUUGCAAUAGCAAAUAGAUACGGAGAGAGUGGAUCACCUAGUCGGAUGCCAUUCGUGCUCCCAAAAAAACCAAUAAGUGAGCCAUUAAAGAGUAUCGAAAACUUUGGGAUUUCCAAGCAACUUUGAAUCCAAUUAAC
RNAcentral lists this long non-coding RNA (218 nucleotides) under Musa acuminata (dwarf banana). RNAcentral's name for it is "long non-coding RNA (MACU_LNC008574)". The record is from RNAcentral. Lineage: Eukaryota; Viridiplantae; Streptophyta; Magnoliopsida; Zingiberales; Musaceae.